UCCGGUUGAUCCUGCCGGACCCUACUGCUAUCGGGAUAGGACUAAGACAUGCUAGUUGAGCGCUUCCAGCCAAAACGGGAGCGCAGCGCACAGCUCAGUAACACGUGGCUAAUCUGCCCUUGGGACCGGAACACCCCCGGGAAACUGAGGCUAAUUCUCGAUAGGUGAAGAACUCUGGAAUGAGUCUUUGCCAAAAAGACGUUUACGUUAUGCUCGUAGACGUCGCCCAAGGAUGAGGCCGCGACCGAUCAGGUUGUUGGUGAGGUAAUGGCUCACCAAGCCUUUUACCGGUGCGGGCCGUGAGAGCGGGAGCCCGGAGAUGGGCACUGAGACAAGGGCCCAGGCCCUACGGGGCGCAGCAGUCGCGAAAACUUUGCAAUACACGAAAGUGUGACAGGGCUAUCCCGAGUGCCAUCCGCUGAGGAAGGCUUUUACCCAGUCUAGAACGCUGGGGGAAUAAGGAGAGGGCAAGUCUGGUGUCAGCCGCCGCGGUAAUACCAGCUCUCCGAGUGGUGUGGAUGUUUAUUGGGCCUAAAGCAUCCGUAGCUGGCUGAGUUAGUCCCUUGUUAAAUCCACCGAAUUAAUCGUUGGAUUGCGGGGGAUACUGCUCGGCUAGGGGACGAGAGAGGCAGACGGUAUUUCUGGGGUAGGGGUGAAAUCCUAUAAUCCCAGGAGGACCACCAGUGGCGAAGGCUGUCUGCUAGAACGCGCCCGACGGUGAGGGAUGAAAGCUGGGGGAGCGAACCGGAUUAGAUACCCGGGUAGUCCCAGCUGUAAACGAUGCAGACUAGGUGUUUGGACGGCCACGUGCCGUUCUAGUGCCGCAGGGAAGCUGUUAAGUCUGCCGCCUGGGGAGUACGAUCGCAAGAUUGAAACUUAAAGGA
This 884-nucleotide ribosomal RNA is filed under the name uncultured crenarchaeote. Its description in RNAcentral is "bacterial SSU rRNA". It matches the Rfam family "Archaeal small subunit ribosomal RNA", at positions 1 to 863 of the family's 1478-position model. The record is from RNAcentral. Lineage: Archaea; Thermoproteati; Thermoproteota.